AUGAUGAUGAUAAUUAUGUCAUAUAACACCUGAGACUGUGGUCGAAGAAAUUGGAAACAUUUUAGUAGAAAGAUCGGACACAAAAAGGGACGUCUCAAACCCAGCUAACUGGUUUAUUUCUCGACCAUCCUAUAUCAUGAUAGCUUCACGAAUGACUUGCCCACUGGCGCCACACUGGCCUCGCUGUUUUCAACGGUUCUCAGGUUGCCGGGGCGGCUUGUUUGAACUGUUUGAACCACAGGUUUGAACUGUUUCAACGGGAGUCAUGGCAAAUCCACUUGGAGGCUUAUUUAAACCAAAGUCCCGCUGGCGGGAAAAGAUAACGGACGGAGCAGCACUGCGUGGCCUCGCAAUCCCAGCGACCCGACGAGCUCGCAGUGGUGCUCGGAAGACGACCCUCCCAAAGCCGACGACGCGCACUCGCACGUACAUGCGCAAGCGAUCACCUCUGUGGACAGCGAAGAAACAUCGUCGCACUGUGACAACUUUGUUGGCGUUCGUUUCAUAAAACCCGUUCUAUAAGGAGCUUGUGUCCACCCUGAAAGGCCUGGCGAGCCACGUGCUCGUAUUCAAGCUGGUGCCACGAGGUGGGCCUUUCGGGCAUGCCAGGGAGGAUGAGAGGCUGUCCCUGAACCGCCUACUAGUACGGAAGGUGUUGCCCUCGGCGUUGCCAUCGUGAAUGUCGACUACCUCUUCUCAACCGAGGCAACAUGGUCAACCUCGACAAGCUGGCUACUGACCAGUACCACGUGUGCCGUGUCCGCGGCAUCCAGCGUCUUGCAUUUGCGCUCGGCAAGGCACUCGCAAAACUUUAUGGUAAUUCUAUCUUUGGUGGGUGCUGUGCCCCAUUCUAACCUUUCGAAGUCCACAGGUGUUUAAGAUGUGGAGCCUGUGGCCAGUGGGGAGGUGUAUGUCUCCAAUUUGCCGGACCCUAGCAGUAGCUAAGUUACCGCCGAAUUCACAAACCUCAUUUCAAUUGAGGCGCCCCUCCACUUCCUCAAGGAAGGUGUGAGGGCCGGU
Ixodes scapularis (black-legged tick) is the source of this 1020-nucleotide long non-coding RNA. RefSeq lists it as uncharacterized. NCBI's taxonomy places the organism in Eukaryota, Metazoa, Arthropoda, Arachnida, Ixodida, Ixodidae. The transcript is spliced from 3 exons. The record is from RefSeq and is a predicted model, not a curated record.